RNAcentral lists this transfer RNA (87 nucleotides) under Spirochaetaceae bacterium. RNAcentral's name for it is "tRNA-Ser". It matches the Rfam family "tRNA". Rfam says of the family: Transfer RNA (tRNA) molecules are approximately 80 nucleotides in length. Their secondary structure includes four short double-helical elements and three loops (D, anti-codon, and T loops). The record is from RNAcentral. Lineage: Bacteria; Pseudomonadati; Spirochaetota; Spirochaetia; Spirochaetales; Spirochaetaceae.
GGAGCGGUGUCCGAGCGGUUGAAGGAUCUGGUCUUGAAAACCAGCGUGGCGGCAACGCCACCGUGGGUUCGAAUCCCACCUGCUCCG